RNAcentral lists this ribosomal RNA (465 nucleotides) under uncultured Klebsiella sp. Its description in RNAcentral is "bacterial SSU rRNA". It matches the Rfam family "Bacterial small subunit ribosomal RNA", at positions 338 to 795 of the family's 1533-position model. Lineage: Bacteria; Pseudomonadati; Pseudomonadota; Gammaproteobacteria; Enterobacterales; Enterobacteriaceae. The record is from RNAcentral.
CCUACGGGGGGCUGCAGUGGGGAAUAUUGCACAAUGGGCGCAAGCCUGAUGCAGCCAUGCCGCGUGUGUGAAGAAGGCCUUCGGGUCGUAAAGCACUUUCAGCGGGGAGGAAGGCGGUGAGGUUAAUAACCUCAUCGAUUGACGUUACCCGCAGAAGAAGCACCGGCUAACUCCGUGCCAGCAGCCGCGGUAAUACGGAGGGUGCAAGCGUUAAUCGGAAUUACUGGGCGUAAAGCGCACGCAGGCGGUCUGUCAAGUCGGAUGUGAAAUCCCCGGGCUCAACCUGGGAACUGCAUUCGAAACUGGCAGGCUAGAGUCUUGUAGAGGGGGGUAGAAUUCCAGGUGUAGCGGUGAAAUGCGUAGAGAUCUGGAGGAAUACCGGUGGCGAAGGCGGCCCCCUGGACAAAGACUGACGCUCAGGUGCGAAAGCGUGGGGAGCAAACAGGAUUAGAUACCCGGGUAGUC